This 531-nucleotide ribosomal RNA is filed under the name uncultured eukaryote. Its description in RNAcentral is "SSU rRNA". It matches the Rfam family "Eukaryotic small subunit ribosomal RNA", at positions 609 to 1145 of the family's 1831-position model. The record is from RNAcentral.
GUUGUUGCGGUUAAAAAGCUCGUAGUUGGAUUUCUGUUGAGGACGGCCGGUCCGCACUAUGUGCGUGUAUCUGGUUCGGCCUUGGCAUCCUCUUGAGGAACGUUCCUGCGCUUGAUUGCGUGGGGCGGUAUUCAAGACUUUUACUUUGAGGAAAUUAGAGUGUUCACGGCAGGCAAGCGCCUUGAAUACAUUAGCAUGGAAUAAUAAUAUAGGAUCUUGGUUCUAUUUGUUGGUUUCUAGGGCUAAGGUAAUGAUUAAUAGGGAUAAUUGGGGGCAUUUGUAUUAACGCGUCAGAGGUGGAAUUCUUGGAUUGCGUUACGACAAACUACUGCGAAAGCAUUUGCCAAGGAUGUGUUCAUUGAUCAAGAACGAAAGUAUGGGGAUCUAAAAUGAUUAGAUACCGUCGUAGUCUAUACCAUAUACUAUGCCGACUAUGGGUUGGAGGUCGUUCUUUUUAUGACUCCUUCAGCACCUUAUGAGAAAUCAAAGUCUUUGGGUUCCGGGGGGAGUAUAUUCGCAAGGCUGAAACUU